GGGCCCGUAGCUCAACGGCGGAGCAGGGGACUCAUAAUCCCUUGGUUGUAGGUUCGAAUCCUACCGGGCCCACCA
Molecule: transfer RNA, 75 nt
Filed under: Actinomycetes bacterium
Lineage: Bacteria; Bacillati; Actinomycetota; Actinomycetes
Also listed under: 2 other names
Description: tRNA-Ile
Rfam family: tRNA
About the family: Transfer RNA (tRNA) molecules are approximately 80 nucleotides in length. Their secondary structure includes four short double-helical elements and three loops (D, anti-codon, and T loops).
Source: RNAcentral